UAUGGCUUUCCAAACGAUCCUGUCCCGAAGAAAAACCACCCGCAGCACGACUCUACAUUGAGGGCUGAGCCGGAGCGAAGUUCAAGGCUUUCUCAUGGUCUCCUGGGGAUGCCUGGGACUCAGGCCUCUGAAGCCGACAUUGACCGACGGGCUCUGGUCCGGGUCCUGCACAGCAGCCGCAUGCAGACAGCUCGUGGGGCCUUGCCUGGUGUGUCAGGAGCAGAGGGAAGCACUAUAGCUAGUUAUUACCAGGCAUCCGAGCCAUGUUUGGCACAACCUGACCACCAAACAAGAUGAGUUUUGGCUGGCGCCCCAUGCGGUGGAAGACAGACCACUUACCUGCUCUGUAUGCCUGGAUUCCAGUGGGAAGAUCCCGGCCAGUCUAAAAACCGUGGCUUUGGCUUGGAGCUGGGAAGACGGGUUCGCAACCCACAUGGUUUCCGUUACAUCUGCUCCUCAAUGCCUGGUACCAGGCAACAGCAGCUGAGGCAGUGUGUAAAUGAGUGGUCAUGGCUGACUUCCGCGAGGACACAGGAAGUACACCCAGAACCCACCCCUCUGUAAAGGUGGUGUGAACACUGGAAAAUUGACUAAAA
Long non-coding RNA from Mesocricetus auratus (golden hamster), 596 nucleotides. RefSeq lists it as uncharacterized. The record is from RefSeq and is a predicted model, not a curated record. Lineage: Eukaryota; Metazoa; Chordata; Mammalia; Rodentia; Cricetidae. The transcript has 3 exons.